Molecule: ribosomal RNA, 274 nt
Filed under: uncultured bacterium
Lineage: Bacteria
Description: partial 16S ribosomal RNA
Rfam family: Bacterial small subunit ribosomal RNA
Source: RNAcentral
AUACGAAAGGUGCAAGCGUUGUUCGGAUUUACUGGGCGUAAAGAGAGUGUAGGUUGUUUAUUAAGUCGGAUGUGAAAUCCCGGGGCUCAACCUCGGAACUGCAUUCGAUACUGAUAGGCUAGAGUUUGGGAGGGGUAAGCGGAAUUCCGUGUGUAGCGGUGAAAUGCGUAGAUAUACGGAGGAACACCUGAGGCGAAGGCGGCUUACUGGACCAAUACUGACACUGAGACUCGAAAGCGUGGGUAGCAAACAGGAUUAGAUACCCGAGUAGUCC